UACGAAGGGUGCUAGCGUUGUUCGGAAUCACUGGGCGUAAAGCGCGCGUAGGCGGCUUGACAAGUCAGGGGUGAAAGCCUGGAGCUUAACUCCAGAACUGCCUUUGAAACUGUCAAGCUGGAGUGUUGGAGGGGAUAGCGGAAUUGCUAAUGUAGAGGUGAAAUUCGUAGAUAUUAGCAGGAACACCGGUGGCGAAGGCGGCGACCUGGGACAAUACUGACGCUGAGGUGCGAAAGCGUGGGGAGCAAACAGG
RNAcentral lists this ribosomal RNA (253 nucleotides) under uncultured bacterium. RNAcentral describes it as "partial 16S ribosomal RNA". It matches the Rfam family "Bacterial small subunit ribosomal RNA", at positions 524 to 776 of the family's 1533-position model. The record is from RNAcentral.